Molecule: ribosomal RNA, 253 nt
Filed under: uncultured bacterium
Lineage: Bacteria
Description: partial 16S ribosomal RNA
Rfam family: Bacterial small subunit ribosomal RNA
Source: RNAcentral
UACGGAGGGUGCGAGCGUUGUCCGGAUUUAUUGGGUUUAAAGGGUGCGUAGGCGGCCGUUUAAGUCUGGGGUGAAAGCCCGCUGCUCAACAGCGGAACUGCCCUGGAUACUGGAUGGCUUGAGUACAGACGAGGUUGGCGGAAUGGACUGAGUAGCGGUGAAAUGCAUAGAUACAGUCCAGAACCCCGAUUGCGAAGGCAGCUGACUAGGCUGUUACUGACGCUGAGGCACGAAAGCGUGGGGAGCGAACAGG